AGACGUUCACCUUGCUUCUUGAAGCAAGGCGCAGUUCGACUCAGGCCAUGGAACGGGGACCUGAG
This 65-nucleotide non-coding RNA is filed under the name unclassified sequences. RNAcentral's name for it is "Glutamine-II sequence". It matches the Rfam family "Glutamine-II riboswitch aptamer". From Rfam's summary of the family: The major groove of the PK provides the binding site for L-glutamine The record is from RNAcentral. RNAcentral also lists the same sequence under 1 other name.